AGUUGCAUUUUCCAUGGGUUUCCAUGCCUAGAAAACAUGUGGGUCCUACCUACUGCAACCAUUUUCUUUUUGAUAAAGGAAGAAAGUGCCUAUAUAUAUUUCUUACAUUUAUAUAUAAGAAAGAGGACGGUUCACCUUUGAGAGAGGACAAUUCACCUUGCAGAUUCAUCAUCCAUAGAUAUAAACUUGGUGAGCUGCUUGGAUUUUGACAAGGUUAACAUCAUCAUCAUGGCACGAGUCAUAAGACAAUCACACAAUAUCUACUUUAUGGAUGUUUUUAUAGGCUUUUCCUAAUCAUUAAGCUCAAUGUGUUUGAAAUAAACUUUCCAAGGAGUAAUGUCUUGUUCAGGAUUACCUAUCCUGCAUCCAUAGUACCAAACCAUAGAAUUUAAUUUCUUUUUCAAACUAAUACCACCAAACUACAGAUAUAGGAAUACUGCCCCGAGAAUAACCUUUUUUUCCCUAGCCAUCACCGACCAUGUUAUAAUGAAGGCAAAAAUAUCUUGAAACAAAUCAUUGGACUAUAAUGGAAUAGUUGCCAGUUGUAUUAUUGCAUUAAAUCUGUUAACUCUAUUAUCUUCAUAUUUGAGGUUCUCUAUUUAUAGCAUUAUCAACAAAUUGUUUUGGACAUGCAUUUUACCAACUUGCUAACCUUCUUAUUUUUAUUUUUUUGGUAUAAACCAACUUGCUAUUGACAUAAAUUUCUUCCCUUCUUUCACCAAAUGGUUACUUGCUCAAACUCACAUAGUGGAGAACAAGCUUUAAAGCCCUUGAAUUCUCGCCAAAAUUAUUCAUUCAAUCAAGUAGUGGAACAAUUUUGCUUACAAGUUUAUGUUUACUCAAGAUAAAUGAUAACAAUUUUAACAAAAAUAAAAAUAAAAAACCCGAAAAAAGAAAGAUAAGUGAUAACAAAGUUUAGGGGAUGAGCCAAUAUGUCUUAGCAUUACCUCAUUCUAAAACUCAACAUGCCAAACAUAAUGUACAACAAUUAUUUAAACCA
Molecule: long non-coding RNA, 1000 nt
Organism: Ziziphus jujuba (common jujube)
Lineage: Eukaryota; Viridiplantae; Streptophyta; Magnoliopsida; Rosales; Rhamnaceae
Exons: 2
Source: RefSeq, a predicted model, not a curated record